This 874-nucleotide long non-coding RNA is filed under the name Homo sapiens (human). Its description in RNAcentral is "metastasis associated lung adenocarcinoma transcript 1". The record is from RNAcentral. Lineage: Eukaryota; Metazoa; Chordata; Mammalia; Primates; Hominidae.
CAGUCUUCAAGAAAUUAAACUGGCAAGUGGAAAUGUUUAAACAGUUCAGUGAUCUUUAGUGCAUUGUUUAUGUGUGGGUUUCUCUCUCCCCUCCCUUGGUCUUAAUUCUUACAUGCAGGAACACUCAGCAGACACACGUAUGCGAAGGGCCAGAGAAGCCAGACCCAGUAAGAAAAAAUAGCCUAUUUACUUUAAAUAAACCAAACAUUCCAUUUUAAAUGUGGGGAUUGGGAACCACUAGUUCUUUCAGAUGGUAUUCUUCAGACUAUAGAAGGAGCUUCCAGUUGAAUUCACCAGUGGACAAAAUGAGGAAAACAGGUGAACAAGCUUUUUCUGUAUUUACAUACAAAGUCAGAUCAGUUAUGGGACAAUAGUAUUGAAUAGAUUUCAGCUUUAUGCUGGAGUAACUGGCAUGUGAGCAAACUGUGUUGGCGUGGGGGUGGAGGGGUGAGGUGGGCGCUAAGCCUUUUUUUAAGAUUUUUCAGGUACCCCUCACUAAAGGCACCGAAGGCUUAAAGUAGGACAACCAUGGAGCCUUCCUGUGGCAGGAGAGACAACAAAGCGCUAUUAUCCUAAGACCCUUCACCCCUCACCUCGAUGCAGCCAGUAGCUUGGAUCCUUGUGGGCAUGAUCCAUAAUCGGUUUCAAGGUAACGAUGGUGUCGAGGUCUUUGGUGGGUUGAACUAUGUUAGAAAAGGCCAUUAAUUUGCCUGCAAAUUGUUAACAGAAGGGUAUUAAAACCACAGCUAAGUAGCUCUAUUAUAAUACUUAUCCAGUGACUAAAACCAACUUAAACCAGUAAGUGGAGAAAUAACAUGUUCAAGAACUGUAAUGCUGGGUGGGAACAUGUAACUUGUAGACUGGAGAAGAUAGG